GAAGGCAUUGAUGGCAGUGAUAUUUUCAUUUCAGAAUGGUUUUCAUCAGAUUGUUCUUGCUUGACUACUGUCUCAUCCCAUCCCCUCAAGGGAGUCAUCGCUGACAAUCCAUCAUCCUUUCCAAGAUCACGACCAAGAAUGGCUGAAAGCUCAUCAGAUAACCAGAAUAUCCACAGGUUAUGAGCUCUGAUGGAAAGAUCCCUGGUGGUUCUGGCUAGUUCUUCAAGUUUAGGGCUAGCAUGUUCACUUGCUCCAAGCAAAGCAGCUGUAGCACAUGAAGUCUGUUGUCUAGAGCCAGUGGGUGUUUGCCUGCCAGGACUCUCAGUAAUCAGAGAAUCUGUGGCAACUUGAGAUUGCCUCAAUACAGAUGGUAACUUGUCAAAAACUGCAGACACAGUAUCUUUUGACCAAAACCUUGGAGAACCAAGUAUCACAGGAAUAUGUUUUGUGUGGUUCUGAAAUGCAAACAAAAGUCUCCCAACAAAAAGAGAUCUCUCAACAACUAUAGCAGGAGGAACAGAUGGACUUCCCUCUCUGGAAUUUUCCAUGGCAUCAUUUAACUGAUCAAUGACCCUCUUGAGCUCUGCCAAAAUGGUUGACAUGAUAUCAUAACAUUUAUCUUGUAGGAAUGGACCCAAAUCUUUUAGCCUGUGUACUGCCUUUGGAGUUUCUAAGAAAUUGAGUAGGUCCUCCAGAACACUUUGACAACGGCUGUCCACUGCAUCUCUGAUUUGA
Molecule: unclassified non-coding RNA, 735 nt
Filed under: Hevea brasiliensis (rubber tree)
Lineage: Eukaryota; Viridiplantae; Streptophyta; Magnoliopsida; Malpighiales; Euphorbiaceae
Source: RNAcentral